UAGUCCACGCCCUAAACGAUGUUAACUCGAUGUUUGUAUUUAUAUGAGCAUCCAAGGGAAACCGUUAAGUUAGCCACCUGGGGAGUACGUUCGCAAGAAUGAAACUCAAAGGAAUUGACGGGGAUCCGCACAAGCGGUGGAGCAUGUGGUUUAAUUCGAUGAUACGCGAGGAACCUUACCUAGGCUCUAAUGCCUCUGCUACCCCUUGAAAGAGGGGGUUCCUUCGGGACAGAGUGCAAGGUGCUGCAUGGUUGUCGUCAGCUCGUGCCGUGAGGUGUUGGGUUAAGUCCCGCAACGAGCGCAACCCUUGUCUUUAGUUGCCAUCAUUUAGUUGGGCACUCUAGAGAAACUGCCGGUGACAAACCGGAGGAAGGUAAGGAUGACGUCAAGUCAGCAUGCCCCUUACGCUCUGGGCUACACACGUGCUACAAUGGUCGUGACAAAGAGUUGCUAGUCUGCGAAGGCAAGCCAAUCUCAUAAACGCGGCCUUAGUUCGGAUUGCAGGCUGAAACUCG
RNAcentral lists this ribosomal RNA (515 nucleotides) under uncultured bacterium. RNAcentral describes it as "bacterial SSU rRNA". It matches the Rfam family "Bacterial small subunit ribosomal RNA", at positions 791 to 1314 of the family's 1533-position model. The record is from RNAcentral.